This 876-nucleotide long non-coding RNA is filed under the name Malus domestica (apple). RNAcentral's name for it is "long non-coding RNA (MDOM_LNC004717)". The record is from RNAcentral. Lineage: Eukaryota; Viridiplantae; Streptophyta; Magnoliopsida; Rosales; Rosaceae.
GGUCGCUUAUAAACGAUCGCGUUAAAUAAAUUCUUGGCAGGAGUUUCAUGCUCAUCAUAGUAACGAAUGCCUUGUCAAUACUUAUAGUUUUCAUAAUGCUUAAUGAUCUUUGAUUGUAUCUUUAUUGUGCUAUUCACGUAAAGAACUUUUGAAGAAUGCUUGAAUUGUUGUAUGCGCUUUCCCAUCCAAUUCAAUAACUUAAGGAGAACUUGAAGGUUAAUUUAAGCGGACUUAAUUAACCUGGGGUGUUGAGUUUCAUGAUUGAUCGAAAGAACAAAUGAAAAUUGGUUUAUGUGCAAGUAUGUCAUGUGUGGAGAAGAACCUCCUAGCUAGCCUUCCAUCCAUUCAAUUUACUCAAUUUCGUGCAGAUUUCAUUAGUUCUUUAAUUUACUUGUUUUGUUUUCAAAUUCGUCAAAACCAAAACCCCCUUUACUUUAAAGUGUUUUAUUAGUCAAAAUCUGUUUUGAUUUGUGUUUUUAGAUGUCCCAAAAGUGUGUUAGAGUCCAAAUUUGCCUAGUUUGUGUUUUUAGGCAGAUUUGAGCGUUUUUAGCUUGUUUUGAGUCCUUUGAGUUUGUUUGAAGUUCUUUGAGUCUAGUUUAGUGUUUUUAACUUUGUUUAUAUGUUUUUAAGUCAGUUUAGAGGUUUUAGCAAGCCCUCAUAAUCUCCGGUUUAGAACGAUCCCUACUUGCAUUUAUACUACAAUUUGACAACAAGAGGGUUUAAUUUGUGUGUUAAGUUAAUUUUCGCAUCAGCGUGCCAACUCGACGGCCGAGCUCGUUCGGGGAGUAAAAUUUGUUGAUGUUGUGUUGAGCGCGCUGCUGACUUCUCGAUAUUGCGACUGCGGCCAAGGAAGGAACACUUCUCGGCCUUCGGGUU